AUUAUAGUUCCACACCACAAAGUCCCUACACCCAGCGCCACCCAGCCGUCAGUAAAUAUCAUGGAGUUCUUAUAAUCAGGGCAGCCUCUACGCAAAUAUGUCGUCAUUGGCCACAACGUGUCUCCUCAUUGGCCACGACCUUCUAGGGAGGGGCAGAGAUAGGCGGAGAAAGGAAGUGAUAACAGAUUUAAGCCAAGUUUGAACAGCUGCCUCUGUUUGCUAGUACUGUGAGAAAACGUCGUCACCGAAGAGGUCCGAAGAGUUUAAAACGAACUCUGAACUCUGUUCUUUGUCGAACUCGAGUGAGACUGAACGCUGAACACACCUGCGGCAUGAAGGUUUACUUGUUCAGCUGCUGCAACCUGGACAGAAACACCAGCUCUCACCUUACAGACCAAACAGGUGUCACCAUUUUGUCCACGAUCGCAGAGAGGCUUUGUGCAAUGAAGAAGUUCUUUGAAACCAGGACUUAGACCUCCAGGAUUUAAACUUCAACCAUUAAAUCACAGAGAGAAGAGACAGACGUGAAGACAUUUCCAGAAGAUGUAAAGCUGUUUGUGAAUUACCUGGAGGCCUCUGUUCUGGUCUCAAAGAAGUCUCUCUUCAUUGUAUGAAGACUCUCUGUUAUUGUGGACGGCGUC
Lates calcarifer (barramundi perch) is the source of this 641-nucleotide long non-coding RNA. RefSeq lists it as uncharacterized. The transcript has 5 exons. Lineage: Eukaryota; Metazoa; Chordata; Actinopteri; Centropomidae. The record is from RefSeq and is a predicted model, not a curated record.